GACGAACGCUGGCGGCGUGCUUAACACAUGCAAGUCGAACGGAAAGGCCCUGCUUUUGUGGGGUGCUCGAGUGGCGAACGGGUGAGUAACACGUGAGUAACCUGCCCUUGACUUUGGGAUAACUUCAGGAAACUGGGGCUAAUACCGGAUAGGAGCUCCUGCUGCAUGGUGGGGGUUGGAAAGUUUCGGCGGUUGGGGAUGGACUCGCGGCUUAUCAGCUUGUUGGUGGGGUAGUGGCUUACCAAGGCUUUGACGGGUAGCCGGCCUGAGAGGGUGACCGGCCACAUUGGGACUGAGAUACGGCCCAGACUCCUACGGGAGGCAGCAGUGGGGAAUAUUGCACAAUGGGCGGAAGCCUGAUGCAGCAACGCCGCGUGCGGGAUGACGGCCUUCGGGUUGUAAACCGCUUUCGCCUGUGACGAAGCGUGAGUGACGGUAAUGGGUAAAGAAGCACCGGCUAACUACGUGCCAGCAGCCGCGGUGAUACGUAGGGUGCGAGCGUUGUCCGGAUUUAUUGGGCGUAAAGGGCUCGUAGGUGGUUGAUCGCGUCGGAAGUGUAAUCUUGGGGCUUAACCCUGAGCGUGCUUUCAAUACGGGUUGACUUGAGGAAAGGUAGGGGAGAAUGGAAUUCCUGGUGGAGCGGUGGAAUGCGCAGAUAUCAGGAGGGAACACCAGUGGCGAAGGCGGUUCUCUGGGCCUUUCCUGACGCUGAGGAGCGAAAGCGUGGGGAGCGAACAGGCUUAGAUACCCUGGUAGUCCACGCUGUAAACGGUGGGUACUAGGUGUGGGGUCCAUUCCACGGGUUCCGUGCCGUAGCUAACGCUUUAAGUACCCCGCCUGGGGAGUACGGCCGCAAGGCUAAAACUCAAAGGAAUUGACGGGGCCCCGCACAAGCGGCGGAGCAUGCGGAUUAAUUCGAUGCAACGCGUAGAACCUUACCUGGGUUUGACAUGGAUCGGGAGUGCUCAGAGAUGGGUGUGCCUCUUUUGGGGUCGGUUCACAGGUGGUGCAUGGCUGUCGUCAGCUCGUGUCGUGAGAUGUUGGGUUAAGUCCCGCAACGAGCGCAACCCUUGUUCACUGUUGCCAGCACGUUAUGGUGGGGACUCAGUGGAGACCGCCGGGGUCAACUCGGAGGAAGGUGGGGAUGACGUCAAGUCAUCAUGCCCCUUAUGUCCAGGGCUUCACGCAUGCUACAAUGGCUGGUACAGAGAGUGGCGAGCCUGUGAGGGUGAGCGAAUCUCGGAAAGCCGGUCUCAGUUCGGAUUGGGGUCUGCAACUCGACCUCAUGAAGUCGGAGUCGCUAGUAAUCGCAGAUCAGCAACGCUGCGGUGAAUACGUUCCCGGG
RNAcentral lists this ribosomal RNA (1345 nucleotides) under uncultured bacterium. RNAcentral describes it as "16S ribosomal RNA". It matches the Rfam family "Bacterial small subunit ribosomal RNA", at positions 28 to 1378 of the family's 1533-position model. The record is from RNAcentral.